This 270-nucleotide ribosomal RNA is filed under the name uncultured archaeon. RNAcentral's name for it is "partial 16S ribosomal RNA". It matches the Rfam family "Archaeal small subunit ribosomal RNA", at positions 477 to 747 of the family's 1478-position model. The record is from RNAcentral.
CUGCAGCUCGAGUGGUGAUCGUUAUUAUUGGGCCUAAAACGUUCGUAGCCGGUUUAGUAAAUGCCUGGGUAAAUCGUGUAGCUUAACUAUACGACUUCCGGGUAGACUGCUAAACUUGAGACCGGGAGAGGCUAGAGGUACUCCUGGGGUAGAGGUGAAAUUCUGUAAUCCUAGGGGGACCACCAGUGGCGAAGGCGUCUAGCUAGAACGGGUCUGACGGUGAGGGACGAAGCCCUGGGGCACAAACGGGAUUAGAGACCCGAGUAGUCC